GUAAAGCCUCAGACAACACAAACCUUAAUCUGUUUAGUAACAGCAACAUGGAAAAGCCUGGGCUAGAACCAUUUAAUAUCUAGGGCAAAGCCUCACUAUAUCACCAAUGGAGCACUUAGUCCUCAGACCACAUGAACAGGGGGAUGGAUUAUUUCUUAAACUUCAGCACUUGUUCAUGUUAUACUGGCCAAAAAUAGAAGAGAAGAUUGAGGAAUGUGGAAUUCAAGGCUGGAGAGGGAAGAGCCAACUGAUUGGCAGGUAUUUUAUUGUUUAUUUUGAGAGCAACAGUGUGAAGGAAAACUCCUGUUAAAGCCACACAACAA
Mastomys coucha (southern multimammate mouse) is the source of this 323-nucleotide long non-coding RNA. RefSeq lists it as uncharacterized. NCBI's taxonomy places the organism in Eukaryota, Metazoa, Chordata, Mammalia, Rodentia, Muridae. The record is from RefSeq and is a predicted model, not a curated record. The transcript has 3 exons.